Molecule: non-coding RNA, 2847 nt
Organism: Punica granatum (pomegranate)
Lineage: Eukaryota; Viridiplantae; Streptophyta; Magnoliopsida; Myrtales; Lythraceae
Source: RefSeq, a predicted model, not a curated record
CUCUCAGCUGACUCUCCCUUAGCUGGGAACGAAAAAAAAGAAAAACCCUAAGGCUCCGAAGAAAAAAAAGGGAAGAAAAACCCUAGCCGCCUCCAGCUCUUUCCUCUCUUCUCCUUUCAUAUCGGACACUCUCUCAGCUCUCACGGAUUUCCCUCAGCUCUCGAAAAUAAACCCUGCAUCCUCACCUUCUGCCUCUCCCUGCAAUUGCUACUCCCUCUCAGCCGUUAGUUCUCUGUGUUCCUCAUCAAUCACUCCAUCAAUCUGAUCAUUUUUUUCCCUUGGCAGCUCGAUAUUGACAGUGAAAGAAGGAACCCAUGGUUGCGUGCCCAGCUCCUCCCCGUUCCUCCUCCUUGCUGUCCUAUUGCAUCAUUUCCCGUGCUGUGAGCUGCUGUUGCCCAUUCUUCUGUGUUGCUUCUGUUCGGGGGCUUCAACUGCCCGUUGUACCGCUGCUACUGAGCUACUCGCGUUUGCUGCUGCCUUCCCCGAGUCGAUACCACUGAUGCUCAACCCUUCUCUGAGAAACUCAAUCGAUGAAAGAGUGCUAGCUCGUUUGACAUGAUUUCGACAACUUAAAGUCACGUUUAUGCUAUAGGCUUAGUCAUGUGCAGGUUUGUGGUUCUAUAUAUGAUGACUUAGCUUUAUCUCGAUAGCUAGGAACUGUCCUUGAUGAAGACGCUGAGUUAUAUGAUGAUUUCUUGAUCGAUUCAUGGUGUCUUGGCUCGGUUUACUGAACUUGAUGUUGUCUCUAACAAUGUGGCCGGGUUAUGCUACGGUUCCUUUGUUGUUUCAAUCUUGUUUGACAUGAUUUCGUGGGCUUGAGGUUGAGUCUAUGAUAUGAGCUGAGUUAUCGUAAUCAUUUUGGAUUGAAUGGAAAUAAUGAUUGAUGCAUUACUACUAUUUUCGACAUGAGGCUAAGUUGGGCAUGAUAAUGGAAGAACGAUAUUUGCUUGAUGUGAAUGGAUGGGAAGCUUAUUUUGGGAUCAUAAUUUGUUUUCCCCUGGUGCUAUAACUGAUUCAUUAAGGCUGCAUUUAACUAAGAAAGAGGGCUCAGAGUAGUGCUUGUGUGCUAUUUUCUUGAUAUAAAGAUGGAGGUAUAGUUCGGGGAAUACUAGGGGUGUCAUUCAUGGCUGAACAGAGGGGCUUAAAAUCCAUUUUUCGUCUAGUUUAAUGCGGGUUUCAGAUCUGAUCGGAAUUCCCUUUCUCUUGGAACUUUUGAACUACGUGUGGUUUGAUAGAAGAUACAUAAGUUUGGUAGCGGUCUAGAUGGAAUCGUGGAUUCUUUGGUCUGUUAUAAAACCCAUGUGGAGAUGAAGGGUUUAACAAAGAUCAUGAAAUUGCAUGCCCUCAUUUGUCUUCUUUUAUGUGUUGAGGCCUAGUGGUCGUAGAUGUUGCUUUCCCAUAUGUCUCGGCUGUAUUUUAUGCAUAAGCUCUGAAGUCAUAAUGCCUUAGACUCCUUGAAACUCUUCCUUCGAGUUUUACUGGCUUUGUAUUCGCUACUCUUCCGACCCCCUCUCGUUUUUCUUUCUUGCUUUUGCAUGUUAUCCCAAGCUUGGGAGGAGAAGACAAGGAAUGAGGAGUCAUGAGAAGGAAUAAGUAUGGAUUGACUCCAAGACGACGUGGAGACUUACCUAGGCUUAGGUUGAGUCCCGACUUGAAGGCCGCCCCGGUCCGUGGUAGUCAAGGAUCUUUCGAGCUAGCUCAUCCUGAGAAUCUCUUGGGAUCAGCUCGAUACUGACAGUGAAAGAAGAAACCCAUGGUUGCGUGCCCAGCUCCUCCCCGUUCCUCCUCCUUGCUAUCCUAUUGCUGCAUUUCUGGUGCUGUGAGCUGCUGUUGACCAUUCUUCUGUGUUGCUUCUGUUCGGGGGCUUCAAUUGCCCGUUGUACCACUGCUACUGAGCUGCUCGCAUUUGCUGCUGCCUUCCCCGAGUCGAUACCACUGAUGCUCAGCCCUUCUCUGAGAAACUCAAUCGAUGAAAGAGUGCUAGCUCGUUUGACAUGAUUUCGACAACUUAAAGUCACGUUUAUGCUAUAGGCUUAGUCAUGUGCAGCUUGGGAGGAGAAGACGAGGAAUGAGGAGUCAUGAGAAGGAAUAAGUAUGGAUUGACUCCAAGACGACGAGGAGACUUACCUAGGCUUAGGUUGAGUCUCGACUUGAAGGCCGCCCCGGUCCGUGGUAGUCAAGGAUCUUUCGAGCUAGCUCAUCCUGAGAAUCUCUUGGGAUCAGGAAGAGUCGUGCAAGGCUCGAACCAUCCACGAACCGAACCUCGAGCAAGAUGGGCGACGUCACCUUAACCACGGAGUAGGUGCAGCAGCAGCGAAGCAAUGGCAUCAGCAAAGGGAGAAGAUCAGGAAAAGAGAUAGAUAUCACCACAGAAAAGAGGGAACAGUGGAAAGAACUGGAAAUGAACAAAGGGAGAAGGCUUAGCUCAAAUGUUUGGCGACAAGGAGCUCAAGGAGAGGCUUGCGGGCUGGCUUCGUGUUGUUCUUUUCUUCUUUCCUUCUUUUCUGACCGAAGGCGACUCUCCUCCUUGUUGUUCUAUCCAGUCGAGCCCUCAAAGGAAGAAAAGGAUGGCAUCCAAUUGAUGGGGUGAUCCCUUAUUGGUCAGGAUCUUUGAUGGCCGAGAGAGAUUGAGAGAAUGUGAGAAAGGUUGAUGGUGAGAAGGAGUAGUAGAUGAUGAAGCUUAGUACUUGUAUGGUGUCCAGGUGGGGGCAAGUGGAGACGAUGAGCAUGAUGGUCGAUGGUCAUGCUGCAAUCCGAGAGCAGAGGUCAAGAAGUGAUGGUUGAUGGGCCGAGGUCCCGAUUACAAAUUAAUGUCCAGUUCAUGCAAAGUUGUUUAAAUUGAAUGAA